This 561-nucleotide ribosomal RNA is filed under the name Triticum aestivum (bread wheat). Its description in RNAcentral is "partial small subunit ribosomal RNA". The record is from RNAcentral. Lineage: Eukaryota; Viridiplantae; Streptophyta; Magnoliopsida; Poales; Poaceae.
AUGGUGUGGAAAGCACCCAUCCCGUUGAAGAUUAAGAUAUUCCUUUGGCAAUUGUUUCAAAAUGCCAUCCUUACCCGUGAUAACAUGCCUGCCAGGAAUUGGCCUGAAAAUCCCAUUUGUUCCUUCUGUACUAAUGUUGAAACGGCAAACCACUUGUUUUUUUCCUGCUCGCUCGCUCGUUCAGUUUGGGGGACGCUGGGCAUGACGGCCGGGGCAUCUUGCUGCCCUCGGUCCCUUUGGCAAAGUUUUUCUUUGCUUUAUAAAUUCUUUCCGGGUGGGGAGCAUAUCUAUAUGCUAAUCAUUGCUGCGAUAUGUUGGGGGAUUUGGAUUCUCCACGAUAAAGUUACUUUUGAUAAACAUGUCGUUCGAUCUCCUCUGGAGGCUGUUUUCACGGCAUGUUCUUUUAUGAUGUAUUCGGCAGGUUUACUGAAGGAAGAGGAUAGGGUGAAGCUCCAGGCGGGGGUGAAGAGAUUGGCUCAUGCCGCUACGGCGCUGGCGGACAGAUCCUUCCCUCGAGGCAGACUGCUCUUGGGAGACAGAGAUGGUGUGCAGAUUGGUUAG